Molecule: unclassified non-coding RNA, 313 nt
Filed under: uncultured fungus
Lineage: Eukaryota; Fungi
Description: sequence contains ITS1
Rfam family: 5.8S ribosomal RNA (bases 1-105)
Source: RNAcentral
GAAAUGCGAUAAGUAAUGUGAAUUGCAGAAUUCAGUGAAUCAUCGAAUCUUUGAACGCACAUUGCGCCCGCCAGCACUCUGGCGGGCAUGCCUGUCCGAGCGUCAUUUCCACCCUCAGGCCCCCGUGGCCUGGCGUUGGGGCUCCUGUAGGCCUAGGCCUCACAGGCCCCGAAGACCAGUGGCGGGCUCGCCUGGACUCCGAGCGCAGUAAUUACUCCACGCUCAGGGGGCCCCGGGCGGGUCCGGCCGUUAAACCCCCCCAAUCUUUCAGAAGGUUGACCUCGGAUCAGGUAGGAAUACCCGCUGAACUUAA